UUGGGCGAGAGUAGUACUAGGGUGGGUGACCCCCUGGGAAGUCCUCGUGUUGCAUCCCU
RNAcentral lists this ribosomal RNA (59 nucleotides) under Solanum ambosinum. Lineage: Eukaryota; Viridiplantae; Streptophyta; Magnoliopsida; Solanales; Solanaceae. The record is from RNAcentral. RNAcentral also lists the same sequence under 1 other name.